Epinephelus fuscoguttatus (brown-marbled grouper) is the source of this 2420-nucleotide long non-coding RNA. RefSeq lists it as uncharacterized. The transcript has 2 exons. The record is from RefSeq and is a predicted model, not a curated record. Lineage: Eukaryota; Metazoa; Chordata; Actinopteri; Perciformes; Serranidae.
AGAGCCAUCAAAUUUUAUAAACACCUUAAAACAAGUGACCCCAACUCCUACCACUACAAAGCUCUGCAAUGCCAAGAGGAGAACAUGGAGAAGAGCCCCCUCAGCCAGCUGGUCCUGAGGCUCAGCUCCUCUAACAACACAAGACCUCAGCACAGCCCUCACACAAUCUGGACCCACCAAAUUAUAGAGAAACAAAAAGAACAUUACAUUAACUAUUGGACAUCGACCACAAAAACGCAAAGCAAACUUCAGUGUUAUUUGGCUCUAAAUAGACAGUACACGGUGGCAGAAUAUCUGAGCACCGUGACUGAUGAGAAACUGAGGAAGACUUUGACCAUGUACAGACUCAGUGACCACAGCUUGGCCAUAGAGACGGGCAGACACAGGCAGACCUGGCUGCCCAGAGAGGACAGGUUGUGUGAGCUCUGUCCACACAGACAAGUGGAGACAGAGACACACUUCCUGUUGCACUGCAGCAAGUAUGAACACAUCAGAGCCGACUUCCUCUCAAAAAUAAAACAUAAAGUCACUGACUUUGAUUCUCUGCCUGAUCAAACUAAAAUGCAACACAUCCUUGGAGAGAACAGAGUCAGCAGCUUAGCAGCAGCAACAUAUGUCAGGUUAUGCCACAGCCUGAGGGACAACCAUCACAACACCUGACACACCUGUCUAUAUUUACAGUCCUUGUAACUCACAAUCUACAUUUUUCUUUAUUCAUUUUUUUCCCUAUAUUAUAUAUUGGUGUAUUGUAUUGUAGAUUGGUGUAUUUUGUAUUAUAUAUCAUAUAUUUAAUCUUUUUUAUAUAGUUUUCUGAUUUACUUUUAUUAUUGUACUUUAUUUGUAAAUUUUAAUGUCUUUGGCAAUAUUGUUAAUCUACAGUCAUGCCAAUAAAGAUUAUUGAAUUGAAUUGAGAGAGACAGAGAGAGAGAGAGAGAGAGAGAGAGAGAGAGAGAGUUCACAGUGAAGCUUUUAGAUCAUAAAGAGUCGACAGUUUAAUCUCACUAAAACACUGCAGCUGUGUCACAGUAGAUUUAUUAAACUGAAGCUUUUAGCAGACUGAUGAUCAGAGCCUUCUGCUGUGGGAACAACAGCAACAGCAACAGCAACAACAACAGCAACAGCAACAACAACAACAACAACAGAACAAGAAUCAAACAAAUAACCUUCAUCAAGCCGCAACUGAUACAUUUACAGACAAUAAUUUGAUUAAUUUUAAUUUUGAUUUUGGUUUGGUUUGGUUUAAUUGAUUUUUUAAAAUCUAAUUUAAUGUUAAAGGGACAGGUGCAGUCUGAACAGUGGACAACAUGUCCUCAUACAGCAGCUCAUGUGAUUUCUUCUGAACUGACCGUUUGGAUUAGUUUGAGGAAAGAAUCCUGUCUGAUGGUUUCAUUUUACAUACGAACAUAACUUCAAACUAGUCACUGGUGACUUUCUGUCAGGACAUAACACAGAGGUGUUCUGGGUCACAGUCCUGUGACUGUUUGACCUGUCUGUCCUCUCUGACCUCAGAGACACGUCCUCUCAGUGAGACCAGGCUGAGCUGUCACACUGUGAACGUCUCAGGACCGUCCUCUACCCAGGACAUGGUCAAACUGUCCCUCGCUACAGAUACGACACAGCCACCGUCUGUUUCCUCAUCAGAGCAGAAACUCCUCUGUCCUCUGGUCCCUGAACGCAGCACCUGGAGCUGGUCAAUGUAUCUGAUGAAGAUGAUGAUGAUGAUGAUGAUCCUGAAUGAUUGUGGACUGUUUGUUUAUGGUCUCACUGAGUCCUCUUCCUCUGUAUUUGUCUCUCCUCCCUCAGCUUCCUAUUUCCUGCCGAAUCAAAUCAAGCCACAGAAACAUCAUCAUCAUCUUCAUCUUCAUCAUCAUGGUGUGUAAAUGGACUAAAGCAGCAGGAUGAGCAAAGACGACGACGAUGAUGAAGAUGAAGAAGCUGCUGCAGGGAGACAACGGACGACUCAGUUUGACCUUCAGAGACUGAAGGCUGAAACAGAUGGACUCAGCAGGACCUGGUGAGACAGUGUGUGUGUGUGUGUGUGUGUGUGUGUGUCAGCUCUCUGGUAUGUUUAUGGUCCUAAGCUCCACCCACCUGCUGUCUCUCACACACACACACACACACACACACACACACACACACACACACACACACACACACACACACACGCACACACACACACACACACGCACACACACACACACACACACACACAUCAUAGAGUUCAGGUGUGUUCACACUGUGAUCUGUCUUUGUUCAGGCUCUCCUGCUCUUUGAGUGUGUAACCCUGAACAGAUGUUUUAUUUAUGUUUGAACUGUUUGUUUGUUUGUUGUUAAAUGUAAAUGUACUUUAUUGCAUUUUACUCUGUAAGGCGACCUUGAGUGUCAUGAAAGGCGCCCAGAAAUAAAAUGAAUUAUUAUUA